This 450-nucleotide ribosomal RNA is filed under the name uncultured bacterium. RNAcentral describes it as "partial 16S ribosomal RNA". It matches the Rfam family "Bacterial small subunit ribosomal RNA", at positions 354 to 796 of the family's 1533-position model. The record is from RNAcentral.
GUGGGGAAUUUUGGACAAUGGGCGCAAGCCUGAUCCAGCAAUGCCGCGUGCAGGAAGAAGGCCUUCGGGUUGUAAACUGCUUUUGUACGGAACGAAACGGUCCUGGUUAAUACCUGGGGCUAAUGACGGUACCGUAAGAAUAAGCACCGGCUAACUACGUGCCAGCAGCCGCGGUAAUACGUAGGGUGCGAGCGUUAAUCGGAAUUACUGGGCGUAAAGCGUGCGCAGGCGGUGCUGUAAGACAGGCGUGAAACCCCCGGGCUCAACCUGGGAAUUGCGCUUGGGACUGCAGUGCUGGAGUACGGCAGAGGGGGAUGGAAUUCCGCGUGUAGCAGUGAAAUGCGUAGAUAUGCGGAGGAACACCGAUGGCGAAGGCAGUCCCCUGGGCCUGUACUGACGCUCAUGCACGAAAGCGUGGGGAGCAAACAGGAUUAGAUACCCGAGUAGUCC